This 29-nucleotide non-coding RNA is filed under the name Arabidopsis thaliana (thale cress). Lineage: Eukaryota; Viridiplantae; Streptophyta; Magnoliopsida; Brassicales; Brassicaceae. The record is from RNAcentral. RNAcentral also lists the same sequence under 3 other names.
CACGGACCAAGGAGUCUGACAUGUGUGCG